GAUGAACGCUGGCGGCGUGCCUAAUACAUGCAAGUCGAGCGAACAGACGAGGAGCUUGCUCCUCUGACGUUAGCGGCGGACGGGUGAGUAACACGUGGAUAACCUACCUAUAAGACUGGGAUAACUUCGGGAAACCGGAGCUAAUACCGGAUAAUAUAUUGAACCUCAUGGUUCAAUAGUGAAAGACGGUUUUGCUGUCACUUAUAGAUGGAUCCGCGCCGCAUUAGCUAGUUGGUAAGGUAACGGCUUACCAAGGCAACGAUGCGUAGCCGACCUGAGCGGGUGAUCGGCCACACUGGAACUGAGACACGGUCCAGACUCCUACGGGAGGCAGCAGUAGGGAAUCUUCCGCAAUGGGAGAAAGCCUGACGGAGCAACGCCGCGUGAGUGAUGAAGGUAUUCGGAUCGUAAAACUCUGUUAUUAGGGAAGAACAAAUGUGUAAGUAACUAUGCACGUCUUGACGGUACCUAAUCAGAAAGCCACGGCUAACUACGUG
RNAcentral lists this ribosomal RNA (497 nucleotides) under uncultured bacterium. RNAcentral describes it as "partial 16S ribosomal RNA". It matches the Rfam family "Bacterial small subunit ribosomal RNA", at positions 28 to 507 of the family's 1533-position model. The record is from RNAcentral.